UUAAGCGACUAAGCGUACACGGUGGAUGCCCUGGCAGUCAGAGGCGAUGAAGGACGUGCUAAUCUGCGAAAAGCGUCGGUAAGGUGAUAUGAACCGUUAUAACCGGCGAUGUCCGAAUGGGGAAACCCAGUGCAAUUCGUCACACUAUCGUUAACUGAAUACAUAGGUUAACGAGGCGAACCGGGGGAACUGAAACAUCUAAGUACCCCGAGGAAAAGAAAUCAACCGAGAUUCCCCCAGUAGCGGCGAGCGAACGGGGAGCAGCCCAGAGUCUGAAUCAGCUUGUGUGUUAGUGGAACGGUCUGGAAAGUCCGACGGUACAGGGUGAUAGUCCCGUACACCAAAAUGCACAGGUUGUGAACUCGAAGAGUAGGGCGGGACACGUGGUAUCCUGUCUGAAUAUGGGGGGACCAUCCUCCAAGGCUAAAUACUCCUGACUGACCGAUAGUGAACCAGUACCGUGAGGGAAAGGCGAAAAGAACCCCGGCGAGGGGAGUGAAAAAGAACCUGAAACCGUGUACGUACAAGCAGUGGGAGCACCUUCGGGUGUGACUGCGUACCUUUUGUAUAAUGGGUCAGCGACUUAUAUUCUGUAGCAAGGUUAACCGUAUAGGGGAGCCGCAGGGAAACCGAGUCUUAACUGGGCGUUAAGUUGCAGGGUAUAGACCCGAAACCCGGUGAUCUAGCCAUGGGCAGGUUGAAGGUUGGGUAACACUAACUGGAGGACCGAACCGACUAAUGUUGAAAAAUUAGCGGAUGACUUGUGGCUGGGGGUGAAAGGCCAAUCAAACCGGGAGAUAGCUGGUUCUCCCCGAAAGCUAUUUAGGUAGCGCCUCGUGAACUCAUCUUCGGGGGUAGAGCACUGUUUCGGCUAGGGGGUCAUCCCGACUUACCAACCCGAUGCAAACUACGAAUACCGAAGAAUGUUAUCACGGGAGACACACGGCGGGUGCUAACGUCCGUCGUGAAGAGGGAAACAACCCAGACCGCCAGCUAAGGUCCCAAAGUCAUGGUUAAGUGGGAAACGAUGUGGGAAGGCACAGACAGCCAGGAUGUUGGCUUAGAAGCAGCCAUCAUUUAAAGAAAGCGUAAUAGCUCACUGGUCGAGUCGGCCUGCGCGGAAGAUGUAACGGGGCUAAACCAUGCACCGAAGCUGCGGCAGCGACACUAUGUGUUGUUGGGUAGGGGAGCGUUCUGUAAGCCUGCGAAGGUGACCUGUGAGGCAUGCUGGAGGUAUCAGAAGUGCGAAUGCUGACAUAAGUAACGAUAAAGCGGGUGAAAAGCCCGCUCGCCGGAAGACCAAGGGUUCCUGUCCAACGUUAAUCGGGGCAGGGUGAGUCGACCCCUAAGGCGAGGCCGAAAGGCGUAGUCGAUGGGAAACAGGUUAAUAUUCCUGUACUUGGUGUUACUGCGAAGGGGGGACGGAGAAGGCUAUGUUAGCCGGGCGACGGUUGUCCCGGUUUAAGCAUGUAGGCUGAUUAUCCAGGCAAAUCCGGAUAAUCAAGGCUGAGGUGUGAUGACGAGGCACUACGGUGCUGAAGUAACAAAUGCCCUGCUUCCAGGAAAAGCCUCUAAGCAUCAGGUAACAUUAAAUCGUACCCCAAACCGACACAGGUGGUCAGGUAGAGAAUACCAAGGCGCUUGAGAGAACUCGGGUGAAGGAACUAGGCAAAAUGGUGCCGUAACUUCGGGAGAAGGCACGCUGGUGUGUAGGUGAAGCCCCUGCGGGUGGAGCUGAGACCAGUCGAAGAUACCAGCUGGCUGCAACUGUUUAUUAAAAACACAGCACUGUGCAAACACGAAAGUGGACGUAUACGGUGUGACGCCUGCCCGGUGCCGGAAGGUUAAUUGAUGGGGUUAUCCGUAAGGAGAAGCUCUUGAUCGAAGCCCCGGUAAACGGCGGCCGUAACUAUAACGGUCCUAAGGUAGCGAAAUUCCUUGUCGGGUAAGUUCCGACCUGCACGAAUGGCGUAAUGAUGGCCAGGCUGUCUCCACCCGAGACUCAGUGAAAUUGAACUCGCUGUGAAGAUGCAGUGUACCCGCGGCAAGACGGAAAGACCCCGUGAACCUUUACUAUAGCUUGACACUGAACAUUGAGCCUUGAUGUGUAGGAUAGGUGGGAGGCUUUGAAGCGUGGACGCCAGUCUGCGUGGAGCCAACCUUGAAAUACCACCCUUUAAUGUUUGAUGUUCUAACGUUGGCCCCU
This 2206-nucleotide ribosomal RNA is filed under the name Klebsiella pneumoniae. RNAcentral's name for it is "bacterial LSU rRNA". It matches the Rfam family "Bacterial large subunit ribosomal RNA", at positions 1 to 2236 of the family's 2925-position model. Lineage: Bacteria; Pseudomonadati; Pseudomonadota; Gammaproteobacteria; Enterobacterales; Enterobacteriaceae. The record is from RNAcentral.